Molecule: ribosomal RNA, 1040 nt
Rfam family: Bacterial small subunit ribosomal RNA
UUGCUCCCGGCUCACCAGCGGCGGACGGGUGAGUAAUGCAUAGGAAUCUGCCCGGUAGUGGGGGAUAACCUGGGGAAACCCAGGCUAAUACCGCAUACGUCCUACGGGAGAAAGGGGGCUCCGGCUCCCGCUAUUGGAUGAGCCUAUGUCGGAUUAGCUAGUUGGUGAGGUAAUGGCUCACCAAGGCGACGAUCCGUAGCUGGUCUGAGAGGAUGAUCAGCCACAUCGGGACUGAGACACGGCCCGAACUCCUACGGGAGGCAGCAGUGGGGAAUAUUGGACAAUGGGCGAAAGCCUGAUCCAGCCAUGCCGCGUGUGUGAAGAAGGCCCUCGGGUUGUAAAGCACUUUCAGCGAGGAAGAACGCCUAGUGGUUAAUACCCACUAGGAAAGACAUCACUCGCAGAAGAAGCACCGGCUAACUCCGUGCCAGCAGCCGCGGUAAUACGGAGGGUGCAAGCGUUAAUCGGAAUUACUGGGCGUAAAGCGCGCGUAGGUGGCUUGAUAAGCCGGUUGUGAAAGCCCCGGGCUCAACCUGGGAACGGCAUCCGGAACUGUCAAGCUAGAGUGCAGGAGAGGAAGGUAGAAUUCCCGGUGUAGCGGUGAAAUGCGUAGAGAUCGGGAGGAAUACCAGUGGCGAAGGCGGCCUUCUGGACUGACACUGACACUGAGGUGCGAAAGCGUGGGUAGCAAACAGGAUUAGAUACCCUGGUAGUCCACGCCGUAAACGAUGUCGACCAGCCGUUGGGUGCCUAGCGCACUUUGUGGCGAAGUUAACGCGAUAAGUCGACCGCCUGGGGAGUACGGCCGCAAGGUUAAAACUCAAAUGAAUUGACGGGGGCCCGCACAAGCGGUGGAGCAUGUGGUUUAAUUCGAUGCAACGCGAAGAACCUUACCUACUCUUGACAUCCUGCGAACUUGUGAGAGAUCACUUGGUGCCUUCGGGAACGCAGAGACAGGUGCUGCAUGGCUGUCGUCAGCUCUUGUUGUGAAAUGUUGGGUUAAGUCCCGUAACGAGCGCAACCCUUGUCCUUAUUUGCCA